RNAcentral lists this ribosomal RNA (883 nucleotides) under bacterium. RNAcentral's name for it is "bacterial SSU rRNA". It matches the Rfam family "Bacterial small subunit ribosomal RNA", at positions 25 to 880 of the family's 1533-position model. The record is from RNAcentral.
CAGUUAACGAUGGAAGGCGUGCCGUAAUACAUGCACACUUGAGAAGUACGGACGGCGAACGCUUGAGUUAUCUUGAUGUUAGCGGCGGACGUGUGAGUAACAUGAGGAUAACAUACCUAUAAGACUUGGUAUAACUUCGUGAAGCAGGAGCUAAUACCGUAUAAUAUCAUGAGCCGCAUGGUUCAAAACUGAAAGUCGUUCUUCCUGUCACGAAUAGAUGGAUCCACGUUGCAUUAGCUAGUUGGUAAGGUAACGGCUCACCAAGGCAACGAUGCAUAGCUGAUCUGAGAGGAUGAUCAGCCACACUGGAACUGAGACACGGUCCAGACUCCUACGGGAGGCAGCAGUAGGGAAUAUUCCGCAAUGGGCGCAAGCCUGAUGCAGCCACGCCGCGUGAGUGAUGAAGGUCUUCGGAUCGUAAAACUCUGUUAUUAGGGAAGAAAUAUAUGUGUAAGUAUCCGUGCACAUCAUGACGGUACCUAAUCAGUAAGCCCCGGCUAACUUCGUGCCAGCAGCCGCGGUAAUACGUAGGUGGCAAGCGUUAUCCGGAAUUAUUGGGCGUAAAGCGCGCGUAGGCGGUUUUUUAAGUCUGAUGUGAAAGCCCACGGCUCAACCUGUGGAGGGUCAUUGGAAACUGGAAAACUAGAGUGCAGAAGAGGAAAGUGGAAUUCCAUGUGUAGCAGUGAAAUGCGCAGAGACAUGGAGGAACACCCAUGGCGAAGGCAACUUUCUGGUCCGUCACUGACGCUGAUGCGCGAAAGCGUGGGGAUCAAACAGGAUUAGAUACCCUGGUAGUCCACGCCGUAAACGAUGAGAGCUAAGUGUUAGGUGCAUUCCGCCCCUCAGUAUUGCAGCUAACGCAUUAAGCACUCCGCCUUGGGAG